RNAcentral lists this long non-coding RNA (264 nucleotides) under Elaeis guineensis (African oil palm). RNAcentral's name for it is "long non-coding RNA (EGUI_LNC056044)". Lineage: Eukaryota; Viridiplantae; Streptophyta; Magnoliopsida; Arecales; Arecaceae. The record is from RNAcentral.
AUUUUGUAUAUAUUAAAAUAUAAAAUCACAUGGAUCUACUUCAUAUGCUGAAAUUGAUAUAUAUUGAAAUUUAGAUUGUGAUCAAAUCACAUACCUGUUUCGUAAUUCUUUCUUCAAAUCUGGAUCUAGAAGAGAUGAGGAUCUUUGUUAGUCAUACAAGUAUCUGACCUCCGUGAGUAUCCACUCAGGAUCAGCCUGAAACAGCCCCCUACAAUCUGAAUUUUGAAUCUCCAAAAUUCAGCCUGCUGAAUCUGAAUGAAGCCU